AGAGUUUGAUCAUGGCUCAGAUUGAACGCUGGCGGCAGGCCUAACACAUGCAAGUCGAACGGUAACAGGAAGCAGCUUGCUGCUUUGCUGACGAGUGGCGGACGGGUGAGUAAUGUCUGGGAAACUGCCUGAUGGAGGGGGAUAACUACUGGAAACGGUGGCUAAUACCGCAUAACGUCGCAAGACCAAAGAGGGGGACCUUCGGGCCUCUUGCCAUCAGAUGUGCCCAGAUGGGAUUAGCUUGUUGGUGAGGUAACGGCUCACCAAGGCGACGAUCCCUAGCUGGUCUGAGAGGAUGACCAGCCACACUGGAACUGAGACACGGUCCAGACUCCUACGGGAGGCAGCAGUGGGGAAUAUUGCACAAUGGGCGCAAGCCUGAUGCAGCCAUGCCGCGUGUAUGAAGAAGGCCUUCGGGUUGUAAAGUACUUUCAGCGGGGAGGAAGGUGUUGUGGUUAAUAACCACAGCAAUUGACGUUACCCGCAGAAGAAGCACCGGCUAACUCCGUGCCAGCAGCCGCGGUAAUACGGAGGGUGCAAGCGUUAAUCGGAAUUACUGGGCGUAAAGCGCACGCAGGCGGUCUGUCAAGUCGGAUGUGAAAUCCCCGGGCUCAACCUGGGAACUGCAUUCGAAACUGGCAGGCUUGAGUCUUGUAGAGGGGGGUAGAAUUCCAGGUGUAGCGGUGAAAUGCGUAGAGAUCUGGAGGAAUACCGGUGGCGAAGGCGGCCCCCUGGACAAAGACUGACGCUCAGGUGCGAAAGCGUGGGGAGCAAACAGGAUUAGAUACCCUGGUAGUCCACGCCGUAAACGAUGUCUACUUGGAGGUUGUGCCCUUGAGGCGUGGCUUCCGGAGCUAACGCGUUAAGUAGACCGCCUGGGGAGUACGGCCGCAAGGUUAAAACUCAAAUGAAUUGACGGGGGCCCGCACAAGCGGUGGAGCAUGUGGUUUAAUUCGAUGCAACGCGAAGAACCUUACCUGGUCUUGACAUCCACGGAAGAAUUCAGAGAUGGAUUUGUGCCUUCGGGAACCGUGAGACAGGUGCUGCAUGGCUGUCGUCAGCUCGUGUUGUGAAAUGUUGGGUUAAGUCCCGCAACGAGCGCAACCCUUAUCCUUUGUUGCCAGCGGUCCGGCCGGGAACUCAAAGGAGACUGCCAGUGAUAAACUGGAGGAAGGUGGGGAUGACGUCAAGUCAUCAUGGCCCUUACGACCAGGGCUACACACGUGCUACAAUGGCGCAUACAAAGAGAAGCGACCUCGCGAGAGCAAGCGGACCUCAUAAAGUGCGUCGUAGUCCGGAUUGGAGUCUGCAACUCGACUCCAUGAAGUCGGAAUCGCUAGUAAUCGUGGAUCAGAAUGCCACGGUGAAUACGUUCCCGGGCCUUGUACACACCGCCCGUCACACCAUGGGAGUGGGUUGCAAAAGAAGUAGGUAGCUUAACCUUCGGGAGGGCGCUUACCACUUUGUGAUUCAUGACUGGGGUGAAGUCGUAACAAGGUAACCGUAGGGGAACCUGCGGUUG
RNAcentral lists this ribosomal RNA (1522 nucleotides) under Salmonella enterica. RNAcentral's name for it is "bacterial SSU rRNA". It matches the Rfam family "Bacterial small subunit ribosomal RNA". The record is from RNAcentral. RNAcentral also lists the same sequence under 1 other name. Lineage: Bacteria; Pseudomonadati; Pseudomonadota; Gammaproteobacteria; Enterobacterales; Enterobacteriaceae.